RNAcentral lists this ribosomal RNA (833 nucleotides) under archaeon enrichment culture. RNAcentral describes it as "bacterial SSU rRNA". It matches the Rfam family "Archaeal small subunit ribosomal RNA", at positions 20 to 859 of the family's 1478-position model. The record is from RNAcentral.
GCGGCUACUGCUAUCAGGUUUCGACUAAGCCAUGCGAGUCAAGGGGUCGUAAGACACCGGCGUACUGCUCAGUAACACGCGGACAAUCUACCCCCAGGUGGAGGAUAACCUCGGGAAACUGAGGCUAAUACCCCAUAGUUGUCAUGUACUGGAAUGCUUUGACGAUGAAAGAAUUUCGCCUGAGGAUGAGUCUGCGGCCUAUCAGGUAGUAUGUGGUGUAAAGGACCACAUAGCCUAAGACGGGUACGGGCCUUGAAAGAGGGAGCCCGGAGAUGGACUCUGAGACACUAGUCCAGGCCCUACGGGGCGCAGCAGGCGCGAAAACUGUGCAAUGCGCGCAAGCGCGACACGGGAAGCCUGAGUGCCUUAACUAUGUUAAGGCUUUUCUUGAUCCUAAAAAGCUCAAGGAAUAAGAGCUGGGUAAGACGGGUGCCAGCCGCCGCGGUAACACCCGCGGCUCGAGUGGUAGUCACUUUUAUUGAGCCUAAAGCGUUUGUAGCCGGAUUUGUAAAUCUAUAGGAAAAUACUUCUGCUUAACUGAAGAAAUUUUGGAGAGACUGCAAAUCUAGGGACCGGGUGAGGUUGAAUGUACUUCUGGGGUAGGGGUAAAAUCCUGUAAUCCUGGAAGGACGACCGGUGGCGAAGGCGUUCAACUAGAACGGAUCCGACGGUGAGGAACGAAGGCUAGGGGAGCAAACCGGAUUAGAUACCCGGGUAGUCCUAGCUGUAAACACUGCCCACUUGGUGUUGCAUCUCCGGUAAGGGGGUGCAGUGCCGUAGCGAAGGUGUUAAGUGGGCCGCUUGGGGAGUAUGGUCGCAAGGCUGAAACUUAA